Molecule: ribosomal RNA, 492 nt
Filed under: uncultured bacterium
Lineage: Bacteria
Description: partial 16S ribosomal RNA
Rfam family: Bacterial small subunit ribosomal RNA
Source: RNAcentral
AGUGAACGCUGGCGGUAGGCCUAACACAUGCAAGUCGAACGGCAGCACAGUAAGAGCUUGCUCUUACGGGUGGCGAGUGGCGGACGGGUGAGGAAUACAUCGGAAUCUACUUUUUCGUGGGGGAUAACGUAGGGAAACUUACGCUAAUACCGCAUACGACCUACGGGUGAAAGCAGUGGAUCUUCGGACCUUGCGCGAUUGAAUGAGCCGAUGUCGGAUUAGCUAGUUGGCGGGGUAAAGGCCCACCAAGGCGACGAUCCGUAGCUGGUCUGAGAGGAUGAUCAGCCACACUGGAACUGAGACACGGUCCAGACUACUACGGGAGGAAGCAGUGGGGAAUAUUGGACAAUGGGCGCAAGCCUGAUCCAGCCAUACCGCGUGGGUGAAGAAGGCCUUCGGGUUGUAAAGCCCUUUUGUUGGGAAAGAAAAGCAGCAGGUUAAUACCCCGCUGUUCUGACGGUACCCAAAGAAUAAGCACCGGCUAACUUCGUG